This is a long non-coding RNA of Parus major (Great Tit), 558 nucleotides long. RefSeq lists it as uncharacterized. NCBI's taxonomy places the organism in Eukaryota, Metazoa, Chordata, Aves, Passeriformes, Paridae. The record is from RefSeq and is a predicted model, not a curated record. The transcript is spliced from 2 exons.
GGCCUUGCGGAUCUUCCGCUUGGCGUUGCCCUCCGUGCCCGGCGCGUACGGCUCCCGCUCGUUCGUCAGGUACCGCAGGAUGGCCAGUGGUCGAAUACUGGAAAAAGUGGCCCUAGGCGGUUGUGGAAUCUCUGUCCUUGGAGCUGCAUUCAAGACUCGGCUGCAUCUCAUCUAAAUCUCAUCUAAAUCUCAUCUAAACAGACACGCUUUGAACAGGGAGUUGGAGUGGAUGUCCUCUGGCGGUCCUUUUAAACCCCAAUUAUUUUGUGGGUCUGUGACAAACUCAGGCGCUCAAUUUUUUCUGACAAAUACUUGAUAGUGGAUCAAUUAUGUUGCAUUAGGUAAACACAAGGGCUUAUAUUAAUUUCCAUGAUAAUUCAUUGUAUUACAUCUAUGUUUGAGUUGAAUAACGUGCUGUUACACCAGGGUAAGGCCCUGCUCUUGAACAGCCUGCCUCACUCGAGGCAUAGCUUGUGAGAGGAGUAACCUGAUGGCCUGUUAUUCUUUAAUUCUCACUGUAUCAGUCAGAACUCAGGAAUAAACAUCAAGGAAGAGUAA